UACGUAGGGGGCAAGCGUUGUCCGGAAUCAUUGGGCGUAAAGAGCGUGUAGGCGGCCAGAUAAGUCCGCUGUGAAAUCUCGAGGCUCAACUUCGAGCUGUCGGUGGAAACUGUCUGGCUAGAGUCCGGAAGAGGAGAAUGGAAUUCCUGGUGUAGCGGUGAAAUGCGCAGAUAUCAGGAAGAACACCGAUGGCGAAGGCAGUUCUCUGGGACGGUACUGACGCUGAGACGCGAAAGCGUGGGGAGCGAACAGG
RNAcentral lists this ribosomal RNA (253 nucleotides) under uncultured bacterium. RNAcentral's name for it is "partial 16S ribosomal RNA". It matches the Rfam family "Bacterial small subunit ribosomal RNA", at positions 524 to 776 of the family's 1533-position model. The record is from RNAcentral.